UUACAAACUACACCCCAUUUUGUUUUUUUAAUAGUAUUUCAUGUCACCUAUUUUUAUACUUCCUAAAACACCCUCAAGGUCAGAUUUUUUUUCUUUUUCUUUUUGGGUCUUUUCUUCUCUCUGUCCCCCUCUCUUCCAGACCACCACCAAGGGCCUCUUUCUCCCGUCUGCACGGUGCAUGCUACCUAAUCUGUCUCUAUCUCUCUCCCUCAGGGUCCUCUGUGGUAAAUCCUUCGAGUCUCGCCCAGAAAACCCAAAUCAAUUUCCCCCAAAUUUUUGUCUCAGAAUUUUGGUUGCAGACGGGGAUCGAUCUCGACCGGUUUAAAUGACGGCGGUGGGAAUAGACUCUAGGAUGCUAAAGCGAAUCAGGAGAAGGCCCCGGUCCGCCUGGGACGUCGGCCCCUCCGAGUACGAACCAGAGGCGCAACGGCCAUUAUUGGCGGGUAAUCAAGCGAAUGGAAGAAAUGGUUCGCCUCCGAAACGAGACGAUGAUUACGAUUAAGCAUGAGGUGGAUGUGCUUAAUCGUAUUGCCAAGAAUGAUACUAGCAACUCAUGCUGUGUGCAGAUUCGCGAUUGGUUUGAUUACGGCAAUCACAUAUGCAUAGUGUUUGAGAAGCUUGGACCAAGCUUAUUUGAUUUUCUGAAAAAAAAAAAAAAAAAAAAAGGGCCUCUCAUUCGUUGAUAGGCUGAGUUUCAAUUUCACUCUAAUGGAGUUAUUAAUGUUCAAUUCUUUUGAUUGUUGUUCUUAAAUUUCGUACUUGGAGGAAACAGGGGAAAUGGAAAUGUAAAAGGGAGCUUCUGGUCUUGAUUUUGAUUGAUUUUUAAAGGGAUGAUGAGGAACUAAGGAGGACUGCAUGAUGCACCAGGUCAUUGAGACUAUUGUCUCGGCAGAAAUGGUACAGGGUAAGAAUUCCAAGCCUUUGAGUUGUGAAUGUGUUUCUGUUGGGAUAUUGAGAUUAAUUAAAUCUGUAAUUUUGUGGUGGAGAUGAAUAGAUGGAAUUGAUGUAUAAAAGCAUUAGAUUGAUUGAAUUUGGGAUGCCUAUGAAUUUUAUUAAUACGAAAUUGAUAUGCUUCUGCUAUUUGUUUUGGGUUGACGGUAGUUGAACUAAAAUUUGUAGUCUUUCUUUAUGUUUAUAUAUCUGCAAAGGGAACUGACAGAAAAGAAGAUGGGUAUUCCUAAUCCAGCAUGCCGAGUGCAUGCUACCUAAACGCAGAGAAUGAAGCAAAGGAGAUCGAAAUCACGACCUGCAGGUUUUGGAGCUUGAUGUGGCUCCAGAUCUGCUUCACGGCUUCUCUUGGGCUUGAUCGCGUCGGCGUCUGCUUUGGGCUUCGCCUUCGCCUUCGAUUUUGGUGCGGCGGCGGCGGCGACCUUGACGGCGGUUCCAGCAGUGGAUGUGGAGGACUUGGCCGGCAGUGGGAAGAAGAACGGGGACCUUGGUGGUGGUCUGGAAGAGAGAGGGGGGAGGGUGUUUUAGGAAGUGUAAAAAUAGGUGACAUGAAAUACUAUUAAAAAAAUAAAAGGGGGUGUGGUUUGUAAAUUUGGGGGUGCAAAUUUCACCCCCCUAAAGGGAAAUACUAAAUUAUCUUCAUCUUAAAAAAAAAAAAAAAAAAAUCUUCCAUUAACUUCCUCACUCCGCCGCAGACACUCUCGACCGUCCAGAUGCAGUUGUGGCUGCAUUGCCUGUAGACAAGAAAAUAAGCCCCGCAGUGUGAAAUAGAUGUGCUCAGCAAAUGGAGCUUGCCACCAAGUAAGGAGUUGCGGGGGGCAAAAGACUUCAUCAAGAAAUACUUGGAGACAGAGGGUCAGAAUAUAGGAACUAUUCAUGCUGCAGACUUUCUGGGAUCCAUUCAUUCACUUCCAAUUGUCAUGAUCGAGACAGAAAGAGGAAGACUUGAGAAAUACAAAGCUAAGGCGUGCUUAUGCAGAUUGCAGAUCAAAGUUUUGAGUCCUGAAAUUUUUUCAGAUGGCAAGAAAAAUUGCAUCAAAUUAAGUAAAUCAUGUAAGGUCAUAGUGAAGGGCGAGAGGUUUGGACUGGAAACAAAGAAAAACGACGAAUCUUGGUAUUAUUGCUGGUGUGGCUGCUCUGGUUUUUGGAUCCAAGAAGUUACCUGAAGUGGGCAAGAGUUUGGGAAAGACUAUCAAGAGCUUCUAACAGGUUCUAGGUACUCCAGAUAUUGAUAGAAAUUGCUGGAAGUGGUACAUCAGUUGGUUGGGCAAAUUGAUGAUGCAAUAUUAGUGAAGGUAACGGAAACAUACCUCUUAUUGUAUCAAUUCUAGUGAAAAUGUGGGAGGACCACCAUCUUCUCGGCAAGUUGGAAAGCAAGCUGCAUUUGUCUCUUGAAUCUGAACUUUCCAAGUUGAAUGACCAUUAGAAGCUUCAUAACCGAUGAUGAUUUUGUAAAUGACUACAUUGGUAGUCGAUUUGUGUGUCUAUAUUUUGAGAUCGACCUAGGUAUUAUGUUCAAUUUGGCAACCAAUGCAUCGCUGUUUACGUUUCUGUGCUUUGAGACCUCUAUCAUAUAUGUGCAUAUAAGUCUUCUACCCACAAACA
Molecule: long non-coding RNA, 2553 nt
Organism: Rosa rugosa (rugosa rose)
Lineage: Eukaryota; Viridiplantae; Streptophyta; Magnoliopsida; Rosales; Rosaceae
Exons: 4
Source: RefSeq, a predicted model, not a curated record